AUAGGCGUUCGCUUACAGAGACGAUGUAUCCUAGACUGAGCCUAUAACGGAGCGCUUGAAAAACAUAAAGAAAGGGAUUUGCGCAUAACUUUUAAAGAUUUACGUGGAUUACAAGUCGCUUUGGGAUUUGGAAGGUUGUGGUGCCUAAUUUAAGUUUGAGCAAGCUUCUUCCAACUUCACUCUCCCCCCAUGCCCACAUCAGCUGUGUCCACGUACCCUUUGCCGUGGCGCUAAGCCACCUCUGAGCUGCCCGUGUGUGUGUGUGUGUGUGUGUGCACCCGUGGGGAGUGUAUCGGAGGGGACCAGGUGUGUCCAGCCGUGUAAAGGUCCAGCGGCGGUGAGGAGGGAGGGGGGGCCACGUGCUGGGAGCGCGGCCGCCGUGAUUUUUCCCAGGGGGGGGCCAGGCACCCAAAGAUGAGCAAGCGCGGCUUCCAUAACAACAAAACCAUGCAAGACCGCCGCUGUGUGUGUGUGUUCCUCCCUAACGACGACACGCUCAACGUCAUCGUCAGUCAGGUUAAGACUCUGUGUCAAGAACUCCUUGUUCAGGUGUGUGAUCUGCUGAGACUCAAGGACUGCCACCUGUUUGGACUCAGUGUCAUCCAGAACAAUGAGCACAUCUAUAUGGAGCUUGGCCAGAAGCUGUCCAAGUACUGUCCCAAAGAGUGGCGGAAAGAGGCCAGCAAGGGUAUCGACCAGUUUGGACCUCCAAUGAUCGUCCACUUCAGAGCCCAGUAUUAUGUGGAGAAUGGGCGACUGAUCAGUGAUCGCUCGGCACGACACUACUACUACUGGCACCUGAGGAAGCAGGUGCUGCAGUCUCAGUGCAUCCAGAGAGAGGAGGCCUACUUCCUGCUGGCUGCCUUUGCCCUGCAGGCAGACCUGGGCAACUUCAAGCGCAACAAGCACUUUGGCAAAUACUUUGAGCCGGAAGCCUACUUUCCACCAUGGGUGAUUGCUAAGCGUGGCCGUGAGUACAUCCUAAGGCACAUCCCUAACAUGCAUAAAGACCAGUACGCCCUUACCGCCUCAGAAGCCCACCUCAAAUACAUCAAAGAGUCCGCCCAGCUGGACGACGUCACCGUGCACUAUUACAGACUCUACAAGGAUAAAAAAGAAGUUGAGGCCUCUCUCACUUUAGGGCUGACAUUGCGUGGAAUCCAGAUAUUUCAGAAUGUGGGUUCAGUGCGACAACUUUUGUACGACUUCCCCUGGACCAAUGUUGGCAAGCUGGUGUUUGUGGGGAAAAAGUUUGAGAUUCUGCCGGAUGGUCUGCCGUCUGCACGGAAGCUCAUCUACUACACGGGUUGCCCCAUGCGCUCGCGCCACCUCCUCCAGUUGCUUAGCAACAGCCACCGCCUCUACAUGAACCUGCAGCCGGUACUCAAGCAGGUCCGCCGCCUGGAGGAGAAUGAAGAGAAGAAGCAGUACCGCGAGUCGUACAUCAGCGACGCGCUGGAGCUGGACAUGGACCAGCUGGACGGUCGCUCGCGUGCCAGCGGCAGCAGCAUGGGCAGCGUGUCGCGCCACAAGCGCCUCUCGCGCCACUCCACCGCCAGCCACGGCAGCUCGCACACGUCCGGCGUGGACAUGGGCAGUUUCCGCGUGCCCCACGGCCACGGGCCGCCACGGCCCCCGCUGCGCACGGGCAGCUCGUCCACCAACAGCCACGCUAGCACGCACACGUCCGGCGUAGAGAGCGCCGGCAAGGACCGGGUGCUGGAUGAUGAUGACGAUGAUGAGAUUGAGAUGCUGGUGGAUGACCCUAAGGACUAUGAGGAGCUGCAUGAGCUGGCACUGGAGCUCAACCAGGACCUGUGCAUCCACAUCACUGAGGACAUGCUCACCUCCAGCCAGACCAAUGGAUUCUCAGGUCUUGUGGUGAAGGAUGUGAGCUCCUCAACCUCCAGCUCCUCAGAGACGGUGGUGAAGAUGAGGGGACAGAGCAUUGAGUCCCUACCACAGACGGUUGUGUGCAAGAAGGGGCAGGGCUCCACUGACCGCCACAGCCAAUCGCUGGAUGAUGUGCGGCUCUACCAGCGCAGCGUCUCGGAGUGGGCAGAUCUGUGCCAGGACACCGCCCACAGCUACACUUUCGGCUGCGCCCAGGAGCUGGACGCCGUCGCUACGGGCUACCAGGGCCUGGCGGAGCAGUGUGCCGGCAUCCGCGCCGACCCGUCGGCCUUCCCCAUCAAGCGCACCAAUAAGUACUUCUCCCUGGACCUGACCACGGACGAAGUGCCCGAGUUUGUGGUGUGAGUGACUGCAGUGAAGAUGGAGGAGGAGCGGAAUGGACUCACUCACUCACUCACACACACACACACACACACACACACACACACACACACACACACACACACACACAGAGAUUCCUGUCGCUAACUCCCUGACAAACUCAUACACGCAUUCACCUGUGUUCUAUCGUGUGUCGUCAACAUGCCCCCCCCGCAUCACAGCCACACACUCCCGUCAUCUCUGGAGGAAUCAGAUCAGAAAUCUACACUCCAAAGACGUGAUUGAGGUCGUAGUCUUUGGAGCCUGGUAGAGCUGGUAAUCAAUCUGCGCCGGGAUUGGUUGUAGAUCCACAGAGCUGGAAGUCUAGGAAUGGGAAUUGCUUUGAAAAAGGAGUCGCAAGGGAAAUAAUGGGAAUUUUCCCAUCAGUAUCAAUUUCAUAUUAUGGAUUAUAUAUGAAUUAUAUAUAUGAAAAACUGCAUCUUUAAAAAAGCAUGAACUUAUGAUGAGAAAGGUGUGUGUGUGUGUGAGAGAGAGAGAGAGAGAGAGAGAGAGAGAGAGAAAGCAAGAGGGAGAGUUAAUCCCUACAUGUAUCCUUUCCUCUUAUAUCAAGUACAUUUUGCAUCUGUAUUAAGUGCCAAGAAUCAUGAACAUCACACACAUACAAAUGAGAAAUGAAUUUGUAUGAGCUAUGAACCAAAGACUGUCUUCAGUGAGAUCCUUGGGAUUUGAGCUGACAGAAUGAUACACAAUGGCUCACCAAUGAAAUAACUGUCACGUAACCACAGUAACGGUACCGCCAAUGAGAUUGGAUGGAUUUCGGGUAACUCCUCUUGCAGCGCUGAGGAACGGACAUCUUUGUUGGUCAACUGGGAUUUGGAAAAAGACUUGUAAUUGGACCUUAUGAAAUGAUUGCUAAGAAGAAGGGGGCAGUGGGUGGAUGGUAGAAGCUAUGUCCACUUCUGACUGUUCCAGGAUGUGUGUAGUGCCAACAACCCCAUCCCACCCAACGUCACCCCCACUAACUCCCACCCCCACCCAGCCCCAUCCUGACAGCAGACUGCCAUAACCAAGCCUCUAGUGCCUUUGAAAAUGCUAUGCAGGUCCUGUGACCAUUAAUACGCCUUGACAAUCUCACACACUUAUUCUCUCUUUCUCUCUCUCUCUCUCUCUCUCUCACUGCUUGUAAGCCAUUUCAUUUAACUUAAGGCAGCAAUAUGAGAUUCAAGCUCCUUUUCGUGACCCCUCUGUAUGGUCCACACACACACCAUACAGACAGUCGUAGAGAACUCCACUGAGAGUAGAUCAAUGGAUUCCAGAGAGUGAUGUCAUUCCCAGCCUCUCCUGGUUGAAAGGUGAUUGGGUUUGAGUAGGAGUGUGUGACACACAUGUUAGGUCCCAUUGCUGCCUGACUGGAUGGGUGUGUGUGUAUGUGUGUGUGUGUCUGUCCCAGAGGCGGGAUGUGUUGAUACUUGUUUGGCUGUUGAUGAGCCAAGUGAAUUCCACAAAAUGGAGAAAUGUUGACAAAGCCUGGAGACUGAGACUUUUCAAAUCCAUAACCUCUCUUUCUUUCUUUUCUUUCUUUCUUUCUCUUUGUCUCUCUCUCUCUUCUUACUUUUCUUACUCUUUCCCUUGUUUUUUUUUUCUCCACUCAUUCAGUUAUUUCACUCAGAGCACUCUUUUCUCAAAGGUGACUAAGCUUGUUAGUUUUUUUUUUUUUCUUCAGAGAACACCUGUUUUUAAUUGAGGCCAUCAUAUUGAAGUAUUUUUGCAUAAAGAUUGAUUUCCCAGAUAAGAGAAGUGUCUGUGGCUUUGUGUGUAUGUGUGUGUGUGCGUGUGUGUGUGUGCGCGUGUGCUUGCUUGCUUACAUGCACCCAGUAUUACGCAAUAUAAUUGUGGAAGUUUUCACUCACCAUCUGUAACAACAUUUCUGUUUUGUAGCAUCAUCAGAUCUGCAUCCUUUAGAAGUUCAAAUGACACACUGAGGUUUCCGGAAAAAGAACACGGAACACACACACACACACACACACACACACACACACACACACACCAGCUCUCAGUACAGCUCUUUUUGUUUCCUCAGGAUAUUGGUACUUAGGUCUGGGGAUGUGGCUCCUGGAUGACAGUGUUAAACUCAUAACAUAAUUUCAGUUUUGCUGACUCACAGUAGUUGGUUUUCAGAAACACACAAACACAACUGUUCAAAAAGUCAGAAUUUAUAUCUACAUGUUAUUUCGAAGCAAAAUGUUGGAUCACUAUACUCAAAAUCAACAUUUUCAUUAAUGUUGCAGUAUGAUAUGUGGUCUUGAUUUUCAGGUUUCAGUUUUCCCGUUUAUUUCUAUCAUUGAUGUGAUUUUUGGUACUGACAAGUAAAUGCACCGUUUGUAAAAACUAUUCAUCAUAAAGAUCGACAGAUCAGUUGGUCCAGAGGAACAUUAUACACCAUGCCUGUUUACUCACGUAGAAACAAAGAUUUCUGAACUUGUGCUCACAGAGAAAUCCAUAAAGGUACAAGGAACCCAGUCAGUGCUUAGUGGCCCUGACUGUAGGCAUAUGCAGAAUCUUACGGAUUCUUCCUUCUGAGAGUUCUCUGUAGAAUACUUCUCCGAAGAGGCUAGAGGAGUGGAAUGUUUUAAGAGUAACUGAGAGCCUUCAUAUUCACUCUGUCCCACACACACACACACACCACAUUAACGUUCUUUUCCCAAAAACAAAGAUAAAGGUUACCUCUUAAGUUCUGCUCUUGAGGAGAUGGAGAGAAGGGGGAAGAAGAGAGAGAGGGAAAGCUUUUCUUGCCCCAAAACUAGUUGAGUUGGUUGGGAUGUGAUGCCGUCGCUUGGCAGCAUUUGAUCAUCCACCCAUCUUCAUGCGCACUAACGCAGCAAUAAGAUGCUGGUAUGGACUGCACCACACCAACCCACGUGGUACCACCUGCCACAGCAUGGUGGAGAAAGCCUGCAUGAACUCUUAACCACCACUAGCCAAACACAAAGCGUAAAGAGUGUUUAACAUUCACAUGGGAAUCGUUGCAUUUCUAACCAGAGAAGGUUGUGUGGCCAUCUUUGUUGUUUUUUCGUUGGUCUAUUUUGGGCAGUUCAACCAAGGGAAAAAGUGUUUGUUGGAUUUGUUGCUUACUAUUAUUGUGGUAGUAGUAGCUAUAUUGUACUUGUAACAAACCUCUGAAAGCAGACGACUGGUGCGGGCCUGGCUCACAUCCGUUUCAGGUCCGGCUGAGCAUUUUUUGCUGUUGCUGACUUUCCAGAAAUGACAAAGGAGACUAUAAAAGUAAUAUUACUUGUUCUUUCAUCAAUGCUAGGUGUAAAGCCAUAGACUUAACAGUCUGGAUCUGUGUGUACAGAAAAAAAAACAUGUUGUCUGUGAUUUGUGUGUUGACCUGUACACAUUGUUGCAUAUGGAUUCAGUAAGAAUGAGUGUGUGGAUGUGUGUGUGACAGAGAGGUAGCGUGUGUCUCUGCACCAAGCGUUCACCGUCCUUUCUGUGAAAGGAAGUCCCUUCUGGAAGAAAAAGUGAAAUUAUUUCUUUAAUGUACUCUCUCUCGCUCUCCUGUAGCCCUUCUCUGAUUUUUUCAUUUUGUCUGACCCUUUUGUGACAAAGCUUUUGUUUCAAAUAAUGAAGUCUGAUCAGUGCCUUUUGGUGCUAAUGUCCUCAAACCAAUACUCAAUAAAAUAAAAAAUACCUGCAUUUGA
RNA transcript from Alosa sapidissima (American shad), 5939 nucleotides. It is a transcript of the gene named FERM domain containing 6, with no coding region annotated. The transcript has 15 exons. Lineage: Eukaryota; Metazoa; Chordata; Actinopteri; Clupeiformes; Clupeidae. The record is from RefSeq and is a predicted model, not a curated record.